Molecule: transfer RNA, 57 nt
Filed under: Acalypha rhomboidea
Lineage: Eukaryota; Viridiplantae; Streptophyta; Magnoliopsida; Malpighiales; Euphorbiaceae
Also listed under: 89 other names
Description: partial tRNA-Leu
Source: RNAcentral
GACUUAAAAAAUCCGUCGACUUUAGAAAUCGUGAGGGUUCAAGUCCCUCUAUCCCCA